CUGGCUCAGGACGAACGCGGGCGGCGUGCCUAACACAUGCAAGUCGAACGGGGUAGCAAUACCCAGUGGCGAACGGGUGCGUAACACGUGAGGAACAUGCCCUUCGGCGGGGGAUAGCCGGCCCAACGGCCGGGUAAUACCGCGUACGACCUUCGGGUGGCAUCACCUGGGGGUGAAAGCAGCAAUGCGCCGAUGGAGUGCCUCGCGGCCUAUCAGCUAGUUGGUGAGGUAAUGGCUCACCAAGGCGACGACGGGUAGCUGGUCUGAGAGGAUGAUCAGCCACAUUGGGACUGAGACACGGCCCAGACUCCUACGGGAGGCAGCAGUGGGGAAUCUUGCGCAAUGGCCGAAAGGCUGACGCAGCGACGCCGCGUGUGGGAUGAAGGUCUUCGGAUUGUAAACCACUGUCGGGAGGGACGAAGCUCUGACGGUACCUCCAAAGGAAGCACCGGCUAACUCUGUGCCAGCAGCCGCGGUAAUACAGAGGGUGCGAGCGUUGUCCGGAAUCACUGGGCGUAAAGGGCGCGUAGGCGGCCUGGUAAGUCGGGGGUGAAACGCUGCAGCUCAACCGCAGCACUGCCUUCGAGACUGUCAGGCUUGAGCACGGUAGAGGCUGGUGGAAUUCCCGGUGUAGCGGUGGAAUGCGUAGAGAUCGGGAAGAACAUCGGUGGCGAAGGCGGCCAGCUGGGCCGUUGCUGACGCUGAGGCGCGACAGCGUGGGGAGCAAACAGGAUUAGAUACCCUGGUAGUCCACGCCGUAAACGAUGGGUACUAGGCGUCGGGGGGAGCGACCCUCUCGGUGCCGUCGCUAACGCAGUAAGUACCCCGCCUGGGGAGUACGGUCGCAAGGUUGAAACUCAAAG
This 863-nucleotide ribosomal RNA is filed under the name uncultured bacterium. RNAcentral's name for it is "bacterial SSU rRNA". It matches the Rfam family "Bacterial small subunit ribosomal RNA", at positions 19 to 906 of the family's 1533-position model. The record is from RNAcentral.